RNAcentral lists this long non-coding RNA (1287 nucleotides) under Heterocephalus glaber (naked mole-rat). Its description in RNAcentral is "lncRNA (ENSHGLG00000047237.1)". The record is from RNAcentral. Lineage: Eukaryota; Metazoa; Chordata; Mammalia; Rodentia; Bathyergidae.
UGUUUUUAUCCUUAUUCUUACCCCACAUAAGUCCAGGGCAAAUAGCCAGGCUGACCUCAAAAUCACAGCGAUUCUCCUGCCCCAGCCUCCUGAGCGCUGGGUUUACAGGCAUGCACCACCAUGCCCGGCUGGUUUCUGAACUCUGUCCUUGGCCUGACUUUCGACAUCCUCAAAUUUCUCCUUUUCUUUUGCUGGCUUCCUUCCUCUAUCUUUCAAAUCUUCCUUUCUCAAACCCUUAUUAAGAUGCUGCUUCUCUACUCAGCCAGGGUUGGUGGUGCCCGCCUAUAAUACUAGCACUCAGAAAGCCGAGGCAGGAGGAUCACUGUGAGUUCAAGGCCAGCCUGGGCUACAUAGCAAGACCCGACCCUGUCUCACCCCCUCAAACCCAAACAAAAGAAAGAUCCUGCUUCUUUCCUCUCAGCUGAUAACAUGGUCUUAUUAUUGACUUAUUUUUUAGUUUUUGAGACAAAGUCUCACUUUGUAUUCCAGGCUGAUGUUAAACUUGUGAGAAUCCUCCUGCCUCAGCCUCCUGAGUGCUAGGAUGCUGGCAAAAUGUACCCAUCAUGAAUAUCCCUUAGUUACAAUGUCGAGCCCGGCCAAAAUUUCAAACCAACCACACACCAGGCUACCCCACCAGCCAAGCCCAGGGAGAGCUGCAGGAGUCACCUCACGCAGCAGCGAAGGCUGCAAGCACAGAACUUCUCCCACGAACACAGGGCCCGAAGCCCUCGGCGGAUUUCCCGACAGUUGUGGACUACUCACCGGGUACCCUCCCUAAGGGCCACAGCCCUGGGCUCCCCGCGGGUGGGUGGGCUGCAGAGGAGCUUGGCGACACCAAGGCUUACCUGGACCAGUUCGAGCUUCUCAGUCGGAUCCGCCGCUGUUGGCAGAGCCGCGGGUCCCAACUGGCAUUUCCAUGCGCUGCGCCCCAGCCAACCGUUCCAUUUGCGAUCGCCGGCUGGGCUCCGCGCCUGGACCUUACAACUGAAAAGGAACUCCUUAUUGAAAAGGAAAAAUAAGUCCAAGCGCAAUAAAUUUCAAUCGUCAAUCAUGGGCCUCUUACCUUUUUCUGUGGCUAUGAAGGCGGCCUUUCCGCCGAGGGACCCGGAGCCUGCGGUAGAGUCAGGGUUGUUUCACAGCCGGGCUUCGGUGUUGUGGCAAUGUCUCAGAGCUUUGGGAGCCCUGUUUAAUAAGCACAGAAAAAUGAUUCUGCAAAUGACGGCCACACCAGACACCUAGCGGUGCCUCAUUAUUUUUGUUGAUUUAUCUGGAAGUCCCGGGGGUCAG